Molecule: ribosomal RNA, 1326 nt
Filed under: Triticum aestivum (bread wheat)
Lineage: Eukaryota; Viridiplantae; Streptophyta; Magnoliopsida; Poales; Poaceae
Description: partial small subunit ribosomal RNA
Source: RNAcentral
ACUCCUCCUCCUGCCAUUGUUUUUUAUCCUUUUCCGCUUUUUGUCGCCGCAAAGCGCGAAGCUUUCUCGCGCGCGCUCUCCCGGCUCGACAGCGCGGCGGAUGCGCCACGUGCUGCCGGCUGGCCGCGCCGUCGUCUCGCGCGGGGCGCGGGCGGCGGCGAUGGGGUCGUCGGCGGGGGCGGGGGCGGGGGACCCGGGCGGGAACCCGACGGUGGGGAGGCUGCGGGAGAUCUUCCGGGGCGGCGGCGACGCGGCAGAUGGCUGGGAGAAGUCCUGGGAGACUGGCGUAACCCCGUGGGAUCUGGGGAAGCCGACGCCUAUCAUCGAGCAUCUCGUUAAAUCAGGAACUCUCCCUAAAGGAAGAGCGUUGGUCCCGGGAUGCGGCAUGGGUUAUGAUGUGGUUGCUCUGGCAAGCCCUGAGAGAUUUGUCGUUGGCUUAGAGAUUUCUAAUAUAGCUGCUGAGAAGGCUAAGCAGUGGUCAUCAUCUUUGCCAAAUGCAGAUUGGUUUUCUUUUCUGAUUGCUGAUUUCUUCAAGUGGAGACCAAAUGAACCAUUUGACCUCAUUUUCGACUAUACGUUCUUUUGUGCACUUGAUCCAAGCAUGAGGCUGGCUUGGGCAGAGACAGUUAGUCGCCUUCUGAAACCAGAUGGAGAGCUUAUCACCUUGAUAUAUUUGAUCAGCGAUCAGGAAGGGGGGCCGCCCUACAAUAAUACAGUUGCUGACUAUCAGAAUGUGCUGGAGCCGCUGGGUUUCAAGGCUGUUUGGAUGGAAGACAACGAGCUGGCUAUUAAACCGCGCAAGGGUUUCGAGAAACUUGGAAGGUGGAAGAGAUGCGGCAGGCGGCAAUCUUCUUUGUGAGCAUAUAUGAAGACCUUGCUGUAUAGUUUGUAUACACUGUGUCUGUGUAUUGUGUUAGCUUCUGUGCUCAGUUCGUCAUGUGCACUUCCUGAACGAUGCAUGUGUGAUGUGCCAUUUACUGCUUCUGUUGGAGAUGAAAUCGGCCGUGUGAAAUUUCCGUGUGCUCUAAAUGAGCACCGUAUGGUAUGGUGAGACCAAAGUUUUAAAUAGCGCGCUAAGCCUCUUAGCGGCGGACCUUUUUUAAAUGCUAUAGCGUGCUAUAGCGGUGCUAUAGCGAGCUAUUUAAAAUGUUUACUCAUGUGUUUGGACAAAAGAUCCUUAGCGCAGGACCUCUUCUAAACGCUAUAGCAUGCUAUAGCGGAGCUAUAGCGGGCUAUUUAAAACCAUGGGUGAGACGCUAUUUGUGUUGUGCUGUCAACUUGGAGAUCAUUUUGAAACAAAUCAAAGAGCUCAGGAAAUGGUGAUGG